AUGCCCGCAGUGCCCGUGUGCCUGGGACCCUUCGUGCCAGGUGCAAGCGGUGGGGUGCCUGGAAGCGCCCGGGGAGAUGUGAGGGCUGGAAGUGCUGGAGCAGCGAGGGGCCCCUCAGGAUGGGACUCGCAGCUGGUGUUCUCAGCUGACGUGAGUAGUCUGGCCUCUGACAGCCACACCUGUUCCCUCCUCCUCCUGAUUCAGGCCUCAGGGCACCCAGGGGAGGGGGUCCAGACUCCUGAGUGGGGGCCUGGGUGUGUGGCCCUCUCUAAGUACUCUGCAGGUGCGGAGACCCUUCACUUCUUCCCGCCUGGAGGUGCUUCCUGGGCUGGGGCUGGGUUUCCCGUGAACCCCUCACGUGGCUGGCACCCUGUGCUCGGAGCCCCUGGUACCGGUCAAGAAGGGGAUGGGCACAGCGGGGCGGGGACCGGGUGGCUUUUCCCUGCCCCGCUGUGUCUGAGUGGCCCGGAAGCAUCUUCCGCAUCCUCCCCCAGGCUCUGUGGACCCUGCGCCCAUGGGCGGCUUCCCCUGCCGCUUGGGCUUCCUCAUGGCGUGGUGGCCCGGGCUCCAGGAUGUGGGGUUGCAAGCAAGGCCAUUUCCACACACGCCAUUUCUGCAAGGGAUCAGACACAGGCGUGCGUGAGCCCAGCCAGACCCAAGAGGAGGGGACCCGACCCCACCUCUUGCUGGGAGUCGUGUUCCCCCUCGGACCGUCCCGCACACGUCUGCCAAGGAAGCUUUUGCACACCCAGAUCUGACUGUGGUGUCUGAGGGCUCAGCUCGUCCUGUGACAGAUCUGUGGACAAGUGGUGUCAACUGUGAGGACCUCAGCUUUGGCAGCGGCAGGAGAGAGACAGGGCUGUCCAGUUAGGUAUAAAUUUCAGCUAAAUUGCUGUUACUCGAGAUACAUGGCGCGGUACGUGUGUUCCCUGUGAAGUGUUUGGGACGUACUCUCCGUACGCAGAAAGCAUCUCGCCGUCGACUCCAGGCACCCUCUGUCUAGGUCAGGGCCUACUUCCUGGGCUGGUUGCAGUUAAACUAGAUGGACUUGUGAACACACCCUAUAAAUACUAGCUUCUCUUGAGCUCACCCCUGGCCUGACACACCCUCCUGGGGGAAGACAGGCCUCCUGGCCUCCCUUGCCAGACGCCACCAAGCGAGAAAUUGGCGGUAACGUGUUUCCAGAGUCCCCGUGCCUGGGAGAGUUCAUCGGUCUGUUGUGAGCCACUGUUUUUAGCCACCUCUUCCUUAUAAUGACUCCGUCAGUGGCAAAGGACAAAAUGCCCAACUCCGACUGACUCAGGCCGAAGGGAUUUCCCUGGCUUCUGAGUGAAACGCUACGGGUUUUAGGCACAGCUGGAUCCAGGCACCGGUUCUGUCCAGACUGUCCCCUGGCCUGCAGUCAGCAGAAUGACAGCUCCAGAGAUGUCCAUGCCCAGGAUCUGCGUCUGAAAAUUAGGAAAAGCGAGGAAGUGGGUCUGCCCCGGGGGAGCCAGCCCGCCCACAGUUGGACUUCAGCCGCCCGAGGCCCGUUGCCUCCUGGCCCCAGCGCUGUGAAAGAACGAGCUUGUGUGGUCUCAGGCUCUGAAUGUGCACUAAGUUGCUGACCCAGGAAAGCUGCACGGCUCAGCCUUCUCCGAGUGACCCUCUUCCUCAGGGGGCUCCUCUUUCCUUGGGACCAGCCAGGCGGACGCCCUAAUUGCUCCAUGUCCAGCGCAGUGAGAGCUGCUUUGGAAAAGCUCCGUGGAAGAGGUCAG
This 1757-nucleotide long non-coding RNA is filed under the name Ursus americanus (American black bear). RNAcentral describes it as "lncRNA (ENSUAMG00000007812.1)". Lineage: Eukaryota; Metazoa; Chordata; Mammalia; Carnivora; Ursidae. The record is from RNAcentral.